RNAcentral lists this ribosomal RNA (501 nucleotides) under Triticum aestivum (bread wheat). RNAcentral's name for it is "partial small subunit ribosomal RNA". The record is from RNAcentral. Lineage: Eukaryota; Viridiplantae; Streptophyta; Magnoliopsida; Poales; Poaceae.
AUGGCCAACCAUGGGGAUCUCUCCCCGCCGACCGACAGCCGCUCCCAGCAGCAGCCGAUUCCAGUCUUGUACCAGUCACGGUACGCCAAAACACCAGAGGGCACUCCGCUUUCCUUUGUACUCUACUACACGCCACUUCCUCCAAGUGCUGCGGCUACUCCGAGCCCCGUGCACCAAGAUGGAGCCACAAAGGUGCUCUGCUUGACCCGCAUGUUUUCACCCGAUCGGCUCGCGGACGAUGUGUAUUACCGCAACUUUUGCUGGUGGAUGGCAGUAGAAGGGCGGAGACACGGCGGUAAACUGGUGAGAACCGUGGUCCCACGGCCUGACCCCAGCGGCGCUCCGGUCGCCGGAGUUGGCAAGGUGUUUCUCGAGUACGCGGAUCUCGACAGCUCAACACAUUCAAAGACGAUGUUGCACUUGACGUGGUUUCGCGGGAGGCAGGUGUUUGCCGUGUUCUACCCUGAGGACAAGUUUGCUCAUGGCAACUACGACAGAUAA